UCGCUCAACGGAUAAAAGGUACUCCGGGGAUAACAGGCUGAUACCGCCCAAGAGUUCAUAUCGACGGCGGUGUUUGGCACCUCGAUGUCGGCUCAUCACAUCCUGGGGCUGAAGUAGGUCCCAAGGGUAUGGCUGUUCGCCAUUUAAAGUGGUACGCGAGCUGGGUUUAGAACGUCGUGAGACAGUUCGGUCCCUAUCUGCCGUGGGCGCUGGAGAACUGAGGGGGGCUGCUCCUAGUACGAGAGGACCGGAGUGGACGCAUCACUGGUGUUCGGGUUGUCAUGCCAAUGGCACUGCCCGGUAGCUAAAUGCGGAAGAGAUAAGUGCUGAAAGCAUCUAAGCACGAAACUUGCCCCGAGAUGAGUUCUCCCUGACUCCUUGAGAGUCCUGAAGGAACGUUGAAGACGACGACGUUGAUAGGCCGGGUGUGUAAGCGCAGCGAUGCGUUGAGCUAACCGGUACUAAUGAACCGUGAGGCUUAACCUUACAACGCCGAAG
This 498-nucleotide ribosomal RNA is filed under the name Escherichia coli. Its description in RNAcentral is "partial 23S ribosomal RNA". It matches the Rfam family "Bacterial large subunit ribosomal RNA", at positions 2445 to 2925 of the family's 2925-position model. The record is from RNAcentral. Lineage: Bacteria; Pseudomonadati; Pseudomonadota; Gammaproteobacteria; Enterobacterales; Enterobacteriaceae. RNAcentral also lists the same sequence under 1 other name.